GGGGGAUAACAGCCGGAAACGGCUGCUAAUACCGCAUGAGCGCACAGUGCCGCAUGGCACGGUGUGAAAAACCACGGUGGUACGGGAUGGGCCCGCGUCUGAUCAGCCAGUUGGCGGGGUAACGGCCCACCAAAGCCGCGAUCAGUAGCCGGCCUGAGAGGGCGGACGGCCACAUUGGGACUGAGACACGGCCCAGACUCCUGCGGGAGGCAGCAGUGGGGAAUAUUGCACAAUGGGGGGAACCCUGAUGCAGCGACGCCGCGUGAGCGAGGAAGUAUUUCGGUAUGUAAAGCUCUGUCAGCAGGGAAGAAAGAUGACGGUACCUGACCAAGAAGCACCGGCUAAAUACGUGCCAGCAGCCGCGGUAAUACGUAUGGUGCAAGCGUUAUCCGGAUUUACUGGGUGUAAAGGGAGCGCAGGCGGCGCGGCAAGUCUGAUGUGAAAGCCCGGGGCCCAACCCCGGGACUGCACUGGAAACUGCCGUGCUGGAGUGUCGGAGGGGUAAGCGGAAUUCCUGGUGUAGCGGUGAAAUGCGUAGAUAUCAGGAGGAACACCGGUGGCGAAGGCGGCUUACUGGACGAUGACUGACGCUGAGGCUCGAAAGCGUGGGGAGCAAACAGGAUUAGAUACCCUGGUAGUCCACGCCGUAAAC
Molecule: ribosomal RNA, 652 nt
Filed under: uncultured bacterium
Lineage: Bacteria
Description: bacterial SSU rRNA
Rfam family: Bacterial small subunit ribosomal RNA
Source: RNAcentral